UUGGCUACGUCGGGUUGUGAUAACCGCUGAAAGCAUCUAAGCGGGAAGCACGCUUCAAGAUAAGGGUUCCCACAGGAGUGUUCCUGGUAAGGUCCCCGAGAGAUGAUCGGGUUGAUAGGCCAGACGUGGACGCAUCGUAAGGUGUGGAGCUGACUGGUACUAAUAGACCGAGGACUUUCAUUAA
Molecule: ribosomal RNA, 184 nt
Filed under: Cutibacterium acnes
Lineage: Bacteria; Bacillati; Actinomycetota; Actinomycetes; Propionibacteriales; Propionibacteriaceae
Description: partial 23S ribosomal RNA
Rfam family: Bacterial large subunit ribosomal RNA
Source: RNAcentral